CAGGAGGAGGCGCCGCUGGGACACAGAGAGCUCACUCAGCCGGUUGAAACCGGCUGAGCUAUCCCUUAAUAGUCUAACUCAGUUGCCAUAGUAACAAAACCCAUGACAACCAAAUACACAACAGCAUUGAAUUUGCAAAGGAAGAAGACAGGAGACAUAAUUAACAAAGUGGAGCCACAUUGCUGUGGUACCAAUGCAGAGGCACCAGAGAUGCAGUGCAAAGGGACAAGGAAAGGCCUCUUUGGAUCUUGGGGAACUGUCAGUUUCUGAGACAGACCAGUACAGGUAUACUGCAUUACUGUAGCCCAGCUGAGAGGUAACAAAAGCAUGAAUAGCUGAGGCCAAGUCAUCGUCUGCCAGGAUGGGACAGAGUCUCCUAGCCACCCGGAGAUGGUAGAAAGUGUAACUCACGAAUGCUGCUAGCAAGAACGAGACACCAACAUACUGGAAGCACGUUUGAGGGUAGCCAGACAAGUUGCCUUCCUUGCUGGUCCUGCUACUAGCAGCUCAUGAAAGUUGGAGGUACCUGGGUUGUGAGAAGAAGGUGCCAUUCAUUCCUGUGCAGAGAGUCCACGCAAAACUCAUUCUGCACACUUAUGCUCCAUGAUCCCACACAGAGACUAACAAAGAGAAGGAACAAUACGGGGCCAACAGGGCCCUGCCCCUCAGCAGCGGCAAAGCAUGCUUCAAGUGGAGGAUCUGCUUAAAAGGAUACUCAGUCAGGGAGAGAAAAAGGAAAAGGACAACAGUUAGUAUGCUCAGGCAUGAACAUAGCACUAGCAUGUAUUCCUGGGAUACCUGGAAAUGAAAUGGCAGGUAAAAAAAGCAAAAAAUGCAUUAAAAAUGAAGAAAUUGAUAUAAAGAUUCCUUUGAGUAAGCAGAAACGUAAGUUUAGUUUAAAAAGGAUUUAAAAGGGAAUGGCAAGAACUAGGGACCAAGGAGACAAGGGGGAGGACAAGUCUGUGAAGUAUGCCCCAAAAUAGAGGAUAAUGAACCACUCCAGUACUAAUGUUUAGACUGUUAGCUGGUCACUGUGUUUGAAUAAUAAUUUAUAUUUAUUGAAUAGAUCAAAAAAUGGGUUAUAUAAUCCCUGUAAGGUUAAAGAAACGGUUGAUCAUCUGAUAUGGGAAUGCAAGGAAUGUUCCCAGUGGGGGAAAAAGUCUCUUUAUAAAGAAUUUAGAUGCUUUGAGAUGACAGAAUACAUUAUGAGGAGUUUAAUGAAAAUAUUGGAAAAGUGGGGUAACAUUUAAAAAGUUCUCUUUUAAAAGGAAAUAGUGUGGUAAAAAUGUAGUGGCAUAAAUUUAUGAGGAAUAUAGUAUGUGAUAGUUACACACACAGUAGAUGAGAGCUUUGUUGUAAAGCAUAAGAGGAAGAGAAGGAGGAAAUGCAGGGCGGAGGGAGAGUGAGUGAGAGGCUGGCCAAAGUGUGGAAGCCAGUUUGCAACUUCUGGAGGUGAAGCAAUCUACAGGAGAAGGUUUUUGGAAUUUUCCUUCUUUGUGCCAAGUAAAAGAGAUUUUUGUUCAGUUCUCUGAAACUAAAUCUCAAUCUAAAUGCCUCUGCCCCUUAAAAUGAGGAACUGUGAAGUGCAGCUUUGAAACAAAGCCCCUGAAAUAAAUCCUUAGGUGUGCUAGAGCCGUGCUUGAUGCACCAGAGAAAGGGGAAGAUGAUCCCACUAUCUUUUCUGGAGACAACUAAUGGUCCAUUCAACCCUAGUUCAAAUAACAGCUGGUGGCUCAUAUGCCUUUGAGGAUUGCUGGAGCAUAAAUCACACUGACCAUGGACCCUCCCUCCACUGUGGAGGCCAGGAGUGAAUGGUGUAGAAUGAGCUAUGCUGACUUUAUAACUCUCAAGGACUGCCCCUUUUGAAGAGAUUCCUGAACUGGCUGUUUAGCACAUCUUUCUGUCAACGUUGCACCACCACAGAAGAGCAAAGAGUUGAGAAUCUUCCUCCUGUGUUCCAAAGUUUCACCCAAGUACAUUUAUAAUGCUAUUAUAACUUCUAGUUUGGAAAAGAAGAGUAAUUAAGUCAAAGAAAGCUGGCACCGAGAGAGAGAGAGUGAGCCACCUCAGGAUUUAUCAAUAUAAGAGGCUAAUAGUACUUUGUGCCAUAGAGUAUGCUUCAUAUCCUUUUCAUAGCAACUCUUAUUAUGUGACCAAUUGGCUUCUUUAAAGAUGCAUUCCUUGCUACAUGAAAACAAAGUUUUGUAUGCAUCUAGCCAGAACUGGAGCCAUUGUGACUGCAACUUUGCUUACUUGCUGGCUAACUUUCAAUAGUUGGUAUAAUGUGUAUCUAUAGGCUCUGGAGAAGUAUUACUAUAGCCAGAAGUCUGGGGGAAUGAAUAAAUAAAUACCAGAGUAAAGUGAUACCAAAAUUAUCCUUUUCAGGAAAUAAAGCCUUUUAAAAACUA
Long non-coding RNA from Mauremys mutica (yellowpond turtle), 2408 nucleotides. RefSeq lists it as uncharacterized. Lineage: Eukaryota; Metazoa; Chordata; Testudines; Geoemydidae. The transcript is spliced from 8 exons. The record is from RefSeq and is a predicted model, not a curated record.